Molecule: long non-coding RNA, 316 nt
Organism: Mauremys reevesii (Reeves's turtle)
Lineage: Eukaryota; Metazoa; Chordata; Testudines; Geoemydidae
Exons: 3
Source: RefSeq, a predicted model, not a curated record
CAGGACAACGAGCCAGAGUAUGAGCCAGAUGGACUCCCAGAGGUGGUCAGAAAAGGCUUUGCUGAUAUUCCUACUGGGAAAACCAACCCCUGUGUUUUGCGCAGAACAGCGCUAAACCUAAAGACCAGUGCCCGUCUUGCUGCUCAAAGCCAAAAUUUGUCACCAUAUGGCCAACGUUUACAAAAAGGCAGGUCAGCUAAUUUUGCCAAGAUCUCUAAACCGACAGCUGGUGGCAGCAAAUCACCAAAGGUAGAUGAUACUCAGCAGUGCCAAGCAGAAACAGCUAUUGAACCCAUGGAAUCUAGUUCAAGAUCUC